CCUACGGGUGGCACCAGUGAGGAAUUUUGGUCAAUGGACGCAAGUCUGAACCAGCCAUGUCGCGUGAAGGAGGACGGCCCUAAGGGUUGUAAACUUCUUUUGCAGUGGAAUAAAGUUUGCCACGUGUUGGCGAUUUGCAAGUACGCUGCGAAUAAGGAUCGGCUAACUCCGUGCCAGCAGCCGCGGUAAUACGGAGGAUCCAGGCGUUAUCCGGAUUUAUUGGGUUUAAAGGGUGCGCAGGCGGGGAAUUAGGUCGGCGGUGAAAUUUCGGGGCUCAACCUCGACAGUGCCGUUGAAACCGUUUCUCUUGAGUGCGGAUGAGGUAGGCGGAAUUUGUGGUGUAGCGGUGAAAUGCGUAGAUAUCACAAGGAACACCGAUUGCGGAGGCAGCUUACUAAACCGUUACUGACGCUCAUGCACGAAGGCGUGGGGAUCAAACAGGAUUAGAUACCCUUGUAGUC
RNAcentral lists this ribosomal RNA (461 nucleotides) under uncultured bacterium. RNAcentral describes it as "bacterial SSU rRNA". It matches the Rfam family "Bacterial small subunit ribosomal RNA", at positions 338 to 795 of the family's 1533-position model. The record is from RNAcentral.